UACAGAGGUCUCAAGCGUUGUUCGGAUUCAUUGGGCGUAAAGGGUGCGUAGGCGGCGGGGCAAGUCUGAUGUGAAAUCCCGGGGCUCAACCCCGGAACUGCAUUGGAUACUGCCUUGCUAGAGUACUGGAGAGGAGACUGGAAUUUACGGUGUAGCAGUGAAAUGCGUAGAUAUCGUAAGGAAGGCCAGUGGCGAAGGCGAGUCUCUGGACAGUUACUGACGCUGAGGCACGAAGGCCAGGGGAGCAAACAGG
This 253-nucleotide ribosomal RNA is filed under the name uncultured bacterium. RNAcentral's name for it is "partial 16S ribosomal RNA". It matches the Rfam family "Bacterial small subunit ribosomal RNA", at positions 524 to 776 of the family's 1533-position model. The record is from RNAcentral.